CUACGGGAGGCAGCAGUGGGGAAUAUUGCACAAUGGGGGGAACCCUGAUGCAGCAACGCCGCGUGGAGGAUGACGCAUUUCGGUGUGUAAACUCCUUUUAUAUAGGAAGAUAAUGACGGUACUAUAUGAAUAAGCACCGGCUAACUCCGUGCCAGCAGCCGCGGUAAUACGGAGGGUGCAAGCGUUACUCGGAAUCACUGGGCGUAAAGCGCGCGCAGGCGGCCUUUUAAGUUGGAUGUGAAAGCCUACGGCUUAACCGUAGAACUGCAUCCAAAACUACUAGGCUAGAGUCUGGGAGAGGAAGAUGGAAUUAGUUGUGUAGGGGUAAAAUCCGUAGAGAUAACUAGGAAUACCAAAAGCGAAGGCAAUCUUCUGGAACAGUACUGACGCUGAGGCGCGAAAGCGUGGGGAGCAAACAGGAUUAGAUACCCUAGUAGUC
Molecule: ribosomal RNA, 439 nt
Filed under: uncultured bacterium
Lineage: Bacteria
Description: partial 16S ribosomal RNA
Rfam family: Bacterial small subunit ribosomal RNA
Source: RNAcentral